AGACCUCCGCCCCAAUUUGAUGCAGGACGAUACUCCGACGCCUCCUACGCUUUCACGAAUGACUACUAUCAAGAGGCCGGUGCUUUCUUCACUCGUACCGACAACACCCUCCUCAACAUUCAGAACACGCAAGCAGAACAUGGAAGACUCCUGGAAGAGCAACAAAAAUGGAACCAGGACCAUGCCGCUGCAGUGCAAGAGCUGAGACAAGAUACAACAACAAUGAACGACAACAUCACAACCAUGAUGCGGUUCUGGAACAUCGGGUAAGACCGACGUCAACAUCCAGCUUAGGGG
RNAcentral lists this long non-coding RNA (297 nucleotides) under Sorghum bicolor (sorghum). Its description in RNAcentral is "long non-coding RNA (SBIC_LNC018664)". The record is from RNAcentral. Lineage: Eukaryota; Viridiplantae; Streptophyta; Magnoliopsida; Poales; Poaceae.